GACUACAUGAAGCUGGAAUCGCUAGUAAUCGUAGAUCAGCAUGCUACGGUGAAUACGUUCCCGGGUCUUGUACACACCGCCCGUCACACCACGAGAGUUUGUAACACCCGAAGCCGGUGGAGUAACCAUUUGGAGCUAGCCGUCGAAGGUGGGACAAAUGAUUGGGGUGAAGUCGUAACAAGGUAGCCGUAUCGGAAGGUGCGGCUGGAUCACCUCCUUUCUAAGGA
RNAcentral lists this ribosomal RNA (227 nucleotides) under Staphylococcus hominis. RNAcentral's name for it is "partial 16S ribosomal RNA". It matches the Rfam family "Bacterial small subunit ribosomal RNA", at positions 1314 to 1533 of the family's 1533-position model. The record is from RNAcentral. Lineage: Bacteria; Bacillati; Bacillota; Bacilli; Caryophanales; Staphylococcaceae. RNAcentral also lists the same sequence under 1 other name.